This 460-nucleotide ribosomal RNA is filed under the name uncultured bacterium. Its description in RNAcentral is "partial 16S ribosomal RNA". It matches the Rfam family "Bacterial small subunit ribosomal RNA", at positions 338 to 795 of the family's 1533-position model. The record is from RNAcentral.
CCUACGGGAGGCUGCAGUGAGGAAUAUUGGUCAAUGGACGAGAGUCUGAACCAGCCAAGUAGCGUGAAGGAUGACUGCCCUAUGGGUUGUAAACUUCUUUUAUAAAGGAAUAAAACGAGCCACGUGUGCCUUUUUGCAUGUACUUUAUGAAUAAGGAUCGGCUAACUCCGUGCCAGCAGCCGCGGUAAUACGGAGGAUCCGAGCGUUAUCCGGAUUUAUUGGGUUUAAAGGGAGCGUAGAUGGGUUGUUAAGUCAGUUGUGAAAGUUUGGGGCUCAACCGUAAAAUUGCAAUUGAUACUGGCAGUCUUGAGUGAAGGAGAGGUAGGCGGAAUGCGUGGUGUAGCGGUGAAAUGCAUAGAUAUCACGAAGAACCCCGAGUGCGAAGGCAGCUUACUAAACUGUAACUGACACUGAUGCUCGAAAGUGUGGGUAUCAAACAGGAUUAGAUACCCCAGUAGUC